This 3912-nucleotide long non-coding RNA is filed under the name Homo sapiens (human). RNAcentral describes it as "HSALNT0061408". The record is from RNAcentral. Lineage: Eukaryota; Metazoa; Chordata; Mammalia; Primates; Hominidae.
AUCCCAGCACUUUGGGCCCAGGAGGACAAGACCAGUCAAUAGUGCGAACCCCAUCUCUUAAAAAAAAUUUUUUUGUUUUGUUUUAGGCUGGCCGUGGUGGCUCACACCUGUAAUCCCACACUUUGGGAGGCCAAGGCAGGUGGAUCCCCUGAGGUCAGGAGUUCGAGACCAGCCUGGCCAACAUGUUGAAACCCUGUCUCUACUAAAAAUACAAAAAUUAGCCAGGCAUGGUGGUGGGUGCCUGUAAUCCCAGCUACUUGGGAGGCUGCUGUGGGAGAAUCAUUUGAACCCGGGAGGUGGAGGUUUUAGUGAGCCAAGAUCAUACCACUGCACUCCAGCCUGGAUGAAAGAGAAAGAGUCUGUCUCAAAAAAAAAAAAAAAUUGUUUUAAACUUAGCCAGGUGUGGUGAUGCAUGCCUGUGGUCCCAGCUACUUGGGAGGCUGAGGUGGGAGGAUUGCUUGAGCUCAGGAGUUCAAGGCUUCAGUGAGCUAUGAUCAUGCCACUGCACUCCAGCCUGGGUGACAGAACAAUACCCUGUCUCAAAAAAAAAAAAAAAAAUCUUUUGGCCUUUUCCUCCUUGUCACAAGUGGCUGUUGCAACUCCAAAUAUUGAGUCUGCAUUCCAGGAGAAGAAAAAAGAGGAGAAAAGAACAACAUCCACAGAUACCUGCUUAUAGCCCAUUAGCCAGGACCAUGUCAUAUGUUCACUUCUAGCAGCAAAGGAGGCUGAAAAAUAGAGUAUUUCAUUUUCCAGCCUCUGUUUUGGGGGAUGUUAAAGGAGAGGAGGAAUGAGAUUAGGUGUUGGGUGAGCUGACAGCAUCUGCCACACCAGGCCCCAGGAAAAAAAUAUUGAUGAGGAUUAGGAAAUCAAAUUCAGAUUCAUUACUUUUACAGACAUUGGAACUAAAGAAUGAUUGUGACAAUGGUAUGGUAGACAAAAUUCUAAGAUGGCCCCCCAUCAAUGACCCUUGCUUGCCCUUGUAUAAUCCCCUCCCCUUGAGUGUAGACAAGACCCGUGAGUAUGAUGAGAUAUCACUGCCAUGGUUGUGUUAUGUUACAGGGCAAAAGGGACUUCAGAGUUUUAAUUACAGUUACUAGUAGCAGGGUGCUGUGGCUCACGCCUGUAAUCCUAGCACUUUGGGAGGCUGAGGCAGGCAGAUCAUGAUGUCAGGAGAUCAAGACCACGCUGGCUAACACAGUGAAACCUGGUCUCUACUAAAAAUACAAAAAAAUUAGCUGGGCAUGAUGGCACGUGCCUGUAGUCCCAGCUACUUGGGAGGCUGAGGCAGGAGAAUCGCUUGAACCCAGGAGGCAGAGGUUGCAGUAAGCCAAGAUCACGCCACUGCACUCCAGCCAGGGUGACAGAGUAAGACUCUCGGAAAAAAAAAAAAAAAGUUACUAGUUAGUUGACUUUGAAUUCAUCAAAAGAGAAAUUAUCCAGGUGGGCCUGACCUCAUCACACCUAUCCUUUCAAUAUGGGCAUAGAGGCUAGAGACAGCAGAAGUCAGAAAUGUAAAGCACAGAGGGCCUCUGUGCACCCUGCUGGCUUUGAAGAUGGAGGAGCAAGGUGUGUAGGUGGACUCUAGGCACUCAGAGCUGCCUCUCCCUGACAGCCAGCAAGGAAACAGGGGCCUCCUUUCUACAGCCAGAGUGAACUGAAUUCUGCCAUCACCACAUACACUUGGAAGAGGACCUUGGGCUCCAGAUCAGAAUGUAGCCUGACCAACAUCUCCAUUUUAUUAGCCUUGUGAGUCCAUGACCAAAGAGCCCUGCCAUGCUGUGCCAGAACUUCUGACCUACGGAACUGCAAGCUAAUAAAUGAACUGUUUUAAGUUACUAAGUUUGUGGUAAUUUGUUACACAUCAGUAGAAAACUCAUACAAAUAGUUAAUAAAGGAAGGUAGCCAGAGAAAUAUUGUAGGGUAGCAUCAAAAUUAGUGGAGAAGGGCUGGGUGCUAUGGCUGAUGCCUAUAAUCCCAGCAGUUUGGGAGGCUGAGGCGGGUGGAUCACCUGAGGUCAGGAGCUUGAGACCAGCCUGGCCAACAUGGUGAAACCUCAUCUCUACUAAAAAUACAAAAAUUAGCCAGAUAUGAUGGCAGGCACCUGUAAUCCCAGCUACUCAAGUGGCUGAGGCAGGAGAAUUGCUUGAACCUGGGAGGCAGAAGGUUGCAGUGAGCCAAGAUUGCGCCACUGCACUCCAGCCUGGGCAACAAAGUGAGACUCUGCCUCAAAAAAAAAAAAAAAAAAUUAAUAGAGAAGAUAUCAAGGUGCUGGACACUGUUAGAGGGAUAAUAUUUUCCUUUCUCACAGGAAUCAGAAUACCUACCACCAGUCAGGUGCUGUGACUCACGCCUGUAAUCCCAACACUUUGGGAAGCCAAGGUGGGAGAAUCCCUUGAGGCCAGAAGUUUGAGACCAGUCUAGGCAACAUAGCAAGACUUUGUCUCUUAAAAAAAAAAAAAAAAAUUACCUGGGCAUGAUGGUAUGCACCUGUAAUCCCAGCUACUCAGGAGGCUGAGGCAGGAGGAUUGCUUGAGCCUGGGAGUUUGAGGCUGCAGGUAGCCGUGAUCACACCACUGCACUCCAGCCUGAGUGACAGAGCAAGACCUUGUCUCUAAACAAACAAACAAACAAAAAACGAGAACAAAAACAAAUAAUACCUACUGCCUAUUUUAAUAGAACUGGAGGCUGUAAUUGAAUUUAGAACUUUGGACAUGAGUCUUCCAAGUGGGUAACUCUUCCCUGGGUAUGAGCUGUGCCUCCCUGGGGGGGCACAGGCCCUUUCUCGCCACUGAAGGACACUGGGUAAAGUACUUUGGAUGUUGUUCUACAGGCAGUAGGGAGCCAUUGAAGGUUUUUGAACAAGAAAGUGCCAUGACCAGAGUGAUUCCUUAGGAAGAUGAUUCUGACACUAUCUAAAAUGAAAGAGAAAGAGACUAGAGCUGGGGAGAAACGGGAACCCACCAAGAGCUACUGUAAUAAUCUGCAUAUGAGGUAAUGCGGGCCUGAGGCUGGGUCCUGGGCUCUAAACAGAGCUCAGCCCCCUGGCCUCUUACCUGGGCUCCAUCAAGAUCCAGACCUUUACAUGCUUCUCUUAAAAUGGGGCUGUCCUCAGUGGAGGGCUAGGGGACAGAGAACAGCUCCUAGAACACGGUGACUUCUGCCCCGUGGGGUCUUCUGGCAGCUGGUAGCUGGGUAGUGACUCCGGGAGGUGCUUCAAGGAUGGAAAGGAGCAGGUCUGCCCAGGUUUGAGAGACUGAGGCAGACACGCAAGGAGAUGCCGGGGCUGAAGAGCAUUGGCCUGGGAGGCUGAAACCUGAGCUCUUGUCCCAGCUUCAUCACUCAUUCACCAUGUCUGCCCUCUCAAGUGGGCCUUAAGACGUCUCUGCAAUUGCUACCACUUUUGAGUCUAUGAGAUAGUCUUUGAAUUAUCUGGAGGAAAGAAGUUUGCUGGUUUGAAACAAAGUCUCAUUCUGUCGCCCAGGCUGGAGUGCAGUGGUGUGAUCUCAGCUCACUGAAACCUCUACCUCUCACGUUCAAGCACUACUACGCCUGGCUGAGGUUCAAGCGCCACCAUGCCUGGCUAAUUUUUGUAUUUUUAGUAGAGAUGGGAUUUCACCAUGUUGGCCAAGCUAGUCUUGAACUCCUGGCCUCAUGUGAUCAACUUGCCUCAGCCUCCUAAAGUACUGGGAUUGCAGGUGUGAGCCACUGCACCUGGCCUAGGAGGAAAGAAGUUUUAAACUCAAAAGAUGAACAGAUAGAGUAGGUUACUGUGAUUUACUGGACUAUCAAUCAGAGUUAUUAUGGGACAGAACUAUGUUACUUCAGAAAAAUGAAAUUAACGGUUUACAUAACUAGGAAGCCCUGGCCUGAUCCAGGUGUCUGAGCAGUGUCCCUGGGAGUCUCUGUCUCUGU